UUUUAGAAACAUCAGUGGCCAACGGUCGUCAGGAUCGUUGAGCUGCAUUGGCGGGAUUUCGCCGUCUUCGUUUCUCUUUCUUCGCGGACGAACACGCGCUGGGGCUGCAACCUUGCAGAAUCCCUGGUCCUUGACUGGAUAUGCGUUAGGGGCUUGUAGCUCAGUUGGUUAGAGCGCGCGCUUGAUAAGCGUGAGGUCGGAAGUUCAAGUCUUCCCAGGCCCACCACACUCAUCGAGUGAGCAUUCGUCUUCUGGUUACGGGGCCAUAGCUCAGCUGGGAGAGCGCGUGCUUUGCAAGCAUGAGGUCGUCGGUUCGAUCCCGUCUGGCUCCACCAGAUGGUUUGAUCACCGGCUGCUCAUACCGUCGUCCGCGAAACAUCACUUCGCACUUACUAGUCCGGAUGGACAGUAAGCUGCGUGAUUUCUGACAUCGUAAAGAGGAGAUCGAUCCGAGUUGGAUCGGGCAACAAGUAAUUGUUGCGCGAUACUUCAUUAUCUCCGGAUCAUUUCGGCGCUCGUGCGUCUUCCAUUGUAGCUCACAAGGCUGCUUUGAAAGACAAGCGAGUUGUAAAUGAUCCUUUUAGCGAAGCUUGACCGCCUCGCUAUCGGAACGAUCUUACGAAGCAAGCUGGUCUUUCUAAUCAUUGUCCGGCUGCAGAUAGCGUUCAUCGAGGGCGCGUGCCGCAAGGUAGUUCUGCAGACAACAUUCUGCCGAGUGUGUGGACAUUGAUAAUGAGAGCAAUCAAGUGCCUUAAGGGUGUUCGGUGGAUGCCUUGGCGCUGAGAGGCGAUGAAGGACGUGCUACGCUGCGAUAAGCCGUGGGGAGCUGCGAAGAAGCUUUGAUCCAUGGAU
RNAcentral lists this unclassified non-coding RNA (852 nucleotides) under Bradyrhizobium sp. RNAcentral's name for it is "partial 16S-23S ribosomal RNA intergenic spacer". The stretch from base 741 to 852 matches the Rfam family "Bacterial large subunit ribosomal RNA", at positions 1 to 111 of the family's 2925-position model. The record is from RNAcentral. Lineage: Bacteria; Pseudomonadati; Pseudomonadota; Alphaproteobacteria; Hyphomicrobiales; Nitrobacteraceae.